GCUGGCGGCAGGCCUAACACAUGCAAGUCGAGCGGAUGAAGAGAGCUUGCUCUCUGAUUCAGCGGCGGACGGGUGAGUAAUGCCUAGGAAUCUGCCUGGUAGUGGGGGACAACGUCUCGAAAGGGACGCUAAUACCGCAUACGUCCUACGGGAGAAAGCAGGGGACCUUCGGGCCUUGCGCUAUCAGAUGAGCCUAGGUCGGAUUAGCUAGUUGGUGAGGUAAUGGCUCACCAAGGCGACGAUCCGUAACUGGUCUGAGAGGAUGAUCAGUCACACUGGAACUGAGACACGGUCCAGACUCCUACGGGAGGCAGCAGUGGGGAAUAUUGGACAAUGGGCGAAAGCCUGAUCCAGCCAUGCCGCGUGUGUGAAGAAGGUCUUCGGAUUGUAAAGCACUUUAAGUUGGGAGGAAGGGCAGUAACUUAAUACGUUGCUGUUUUGACGUUACCGACAGAAUAAGCACCGGCUAACUCUGUGCCAGCAGCCGCGGUAAUACAGAGGGUGCAAGCGUUAAUCGGAAUUACUGGGCGUAAAGCGCGCGUAGGUGGUUUGUUAAGUUGGAUGUGAAAGCCCCGGGCUCAACCUGGGAACUGCAUUCAAAACUGACAAGCUAGAGUAUGGUAGAGGGUGGUGGAAUUUCCUGUGUAGCGGUGAAAUGCGUAGAUAUAGGAAGGAACACCAGUGGCGAAGGCGACCACCUGGACUGAUACUGACACUGAGGUGCGAAAGCGUGGGGAGCAAACAGGAUUAGAUACCCUGGUAGUCCACGCCGUAAACGAUGUCAACUAGCCGUUGGGAGCCUUGAGCUCUUAGUGGCGCAGCUAACGCAUUAAGUUGACCGCCUGGGGAGUACGGCCGCAAGGUUAAAACUCAAAUGAAUUGACGGGGGCCCGCACAAGCGGUGGAGCAUGUGGUUUAAUUC
Molecule: ribosomal RNA, 922 nt
Filed under: Pseudomonas putida
Lineage: Bacteria; Pseudomonadati; Pseudomonadota; Gammaproteobacteria; Pseudomonadales; Pseudomonadaceae
Description: bacterial SSU rRNA
Rfam family: Bacterial small subunit ribosomal RNA
Source: RNAcentral